UUCAUCCAGCAAUGCCCAGUGUGCCAGAGAGCUAAGGGAGAACAUUGUCACUACCCUGGACUGCUUGACCCACUACCUAUCCCAGAUAUGUCUUGGAGACACAUUUCCAUGGACUUUGUGGAAGGAUUACCAAAAUCUCAGGGCAAAGAUGUGAUACUGGUGGUAGUUGACAGAUUUACAAAAUACUCAUACUUCAUUGCCCUAUCUCGUCCAUUUACUGUAACUCAUGUGCUGCAAGCAUUCAUUGAUAAUGUGUUCAAACUACAUGGUCUUCCAGUGUCUAUGGUUACUAACAGAGACACCAUCUUCACUAGUAAUUUCUGGCAAGCCUUAUUCAAAUCUCUGGGAGUGCAACUCAACAUGAGCACAGCACACCAUCCCCAGUCUGAUGGCCAAACUGAGAGGGUGAAUCAGUGCUUAGAAGCUUAUCUCAGAGUUAUGGCAUUCCAAGAACCAAAGAAAUGGUGCUCCUGGCUCUCCAUGGCAGAGUGGUGGUUCAAUACUUCUUAUCACACAGCAACAAAGUAUACACCAUUUCAAUGCUUGUAUGGUUUCCCUCCUCCACUCUUUGGAGAGGUUUCAAUCCGUGGACCUAGUGACACAAAUGCUCAGUCAUUCUUGCAACAGAGGGAAGAUAUGCAACAACAGUUAAAACAGAACCUGCUAGUUGCCCAACAGCGAAUGAAGAAAUAUGCUGAUGCUAAACGCACAGAAAGACACUUUACAGAGGGAGAGAUAGUAUAUCUCAAAAUGCAGCCAUAUCGGUUAGCUGCUUUUGGCAUCAGAACUGGAUUGAAACUAGCCACCAAAUUCUAUGGGCCUUUUCGCAUCAUACAAAAGAUUGGGAAUUCUGCUUACAAGUUACUGUUGCCUGACAAUGCACAAAUACAUAAUGUGUUUCAUGUGAGUCAGCUCAAGCGCCAUAUUGGACCUACAGUUGUCCCUACUCCCGGACUACCACUUGUGGACGCCGCUGGCAAGAUCAAAGUGGCUCCAAUCAUGGUUUUGGAAACUCGUGUUGUUCCUCGUCCUCCCAAACUAGUAACGCAGUGGCUCGUUCAAUGGCUGAACAUGUCCCCGAAAGAAGCUACAUGGGAAGACGCUGACUUCAUCAAGUUCACCUUCCCGGAGUUCUUUAACGCAACCAUCCGAGCGUGGUUACCACAAAAGGAUCCUCGAGGGCAAGGAUCGUCUUCUGGGGAGGGCAAUUGU
This 1212-nucleotide ribosomal RNA is filed under the name Triticum aestivum (bread wheat). RNAcentral describes it as "partial small subunit ribosomal RNA". Lineage: Eukaryota; Viridiplantae; Streptophyta; Magnoliopsida; Poales; Poaceae. The record is from RNAcentral.